RNAcentral lists this long non-coding RNA (3229 nucleotides) under Capsicum annuum. Its description in RNAcentral is "long non-coding RNA (CANN_LNC016560)". The record is from RNAcentral. Lineage: Eukaryota; Viridiplantae; Streptophyta; Magnoliopsida; Solanales; Solanaceae.
UCACAGGACCAUCAGUAACCAAAAAAAAACACAGAGAGCACAUCUCAAAUUUUAUUCCCUUUCUGCUCCAAAAAACCGAACCCAUCCAUCAACGAAAAACUACCAUCAACAUAAAUAAACAACAAAAUCAGCAACCUCAAAAAAAUCCAAAUUCAAACCAGCGAAUCCGCGACCAUACCCGUCUUCAAUCUGACCCACGAACCCAGAAAUCAAACCCGAAUCCCACGUCAAAAACAACUCAGCUCCAAACCAACCCAACCCCCAACCUGUUUCUUUUCAUCUUCGUCAAUUGCCCCACGCAGAUAUGGAGAAGAUGCCAAGAAUUCUCCAGAAGCGCUUAGGUGUCUCUCUAAUGGUUUGAUUCCGCAAAUCUCGGGUGAAAGGUACGAUUACAGUUGGUCCUAAUCCCUUUUAUGAAAAUUUAAAAUUAUUCCCUUCCAAAAAGGUUUAAAAAAGGGGGCCUCUUGAAUCAUUCUCCCACAGGGGGAUUAGUUAGAAUUUUUCUCCAAUCUGGUUCUAUAGGAGGAGCUCAUUUUGAAAAAAAAAAAAAAGAGCCUGAGAGUCCAAAAGAGGAAAAAGCUGUCUUGAGCAAAUCAGUAAAAUCUUUCCUUUUGGUUAAAAGUUUUAUUUUCGUAAAAGUCGCCGAUUAAUUGGCAUUUUCGAGUAAACGACUAUGAUGUUCUGUGAUGGUUGUGGGUCUGACUAUAGCUCGAGGUUCCAUUUUGCUGCCCCAAAAAUAGAUUUGGAGAGUCGAGAUUUCAUUGGUGAUUAUCGAGGUUCUUGGAGCGGCUCUUAUUUCACUUAUUAAAAUCAAUCGAAAGAUCUUGAGGUCCAUCUCUUUACUCCCGUACUUUCUUCUUUAUUCUAUUUUGUUGAAAUGGCUAUGAUUGUGUGUUAGGUGAUUGUAAUUGUUUGAUGUUGUUGAUAUUAUGAUCACGUGCUUGGUGAUGUGACUCCAGUGGUACGAUGUAAGAAUUUGAUUAGUUUUAAUGGUGCAAUUGAUUAAAAGGAAUUUUGGGGACGGGAAUCGAAAAUUAAUAAAAGUAAAUAUUAUGAUAUUUUUGAUACAUUGUUGAUGUUGAAUGCGGUAUGUUGUCGAGCGGGUAGGCAAACAGUAAGCUCGGGUAGGCAAGUUUAGGAUUGGUGUAAUGUGGGAAUGAUUGGAAUAUUUGUUGAAUGUUAUCGUAUUUGGAAAGUGUACUUAUUUGACCGGGGAAUGCCCCGAGGUAAUUUGUAUUUACUCACCGAGGAAUGCCCUAAAGAAUUUUGUACGCUAAGGAUGCUCGUGAUCAAGGCCCGAGGCGUCGGGUAAAGCAUGGUUUAGGACUAGUGUAGGUUAUUUCAGUAUUUUUAUUUCGGGUUGUAAUAAUUGGACUGGACUUUACAUUUUUGUCUUGUUUAGUUAUUGUUUGAUUAUUUUGCGUGUUUUGUGUGGUUUAUGCAUUUGUAACGUCAAUUUAGCCGAUACGCUCUGCCAAGCAACCGUGGUCAAACGACGGGAUCGAGGGGUGCCUAACACCUUCCCCUCAGUCAACAGAAUUCCUUAGCCGGAAUCUCUAUUCGCAAACCAUUUUAAGGAGUCAAAUAGUUUUGGAAAGGAUUUCAUAAUGGUGACUUGGCAUACCGGAUUAUUCCAAGUGGCGACUCUGAAUAAAUAAUAUAAAUAGUCUUUUUUCGAAAUAAAUUUUCAUCUUUGUCACUUAAAUAAUAAAACCCUUUCAAACCUAAAAAUACAUUUUUUGGAGUACGUAAAAAGGGGGUGUGACAAUCCCAGUAUGCUUCAAUCGUCGACCAAUUAAUACGAACUUUAUGGUCAAAAAAUCCACUCAUAUCAAGGUAAGUAGGUAAUAUUUUGGCCAGCUUUUGUAUCUCAGACGACGGCUCAAAAUGUUUUCUUCGUGACAUUGAGUCAUAAACUUGGAUGCGCCUCUCUUUUAGAAUGACGACAGCGAACACCCAAUGGAAUUCAUCACCACAAUUGAUUAGGAUGUACACUUUGUCGACCAAAUGCCAAGGUAAGCCAGCUGAGAUGCUAAAAUAUUUGAUGAUGUUGAUUAAGCAUUCAUCAUUUCGGAAAACUUCUGGUUGUUGUUGAUAAUACCUAUCAUAGGCAUUAUUGAUGUAAACUUUGUACAAACAAUUGUUUGUUAUGUAUUUGUAUUAUUCUUGUGUUUGCAACUGGCCUUCUUUUGGAGGUAGUAAAAAUGACAUCGAUGUGCUAUACAUAUUAUUAAAUAUUUUGGAUUAUGUGAUGAAAAAAUCAAUACGCAGAUGCAAUUAAAUAAAGUAUUAAUUAAUAGUAAUAUGUAUGACAUUUAAAACUCAUCAUUCCAGCAAGUUUGGGGCUGUGAAAUCAAAUAGAACCAAUUCUUUAUUUCGGGAUGUGCAACAACAAAGUCGAACGUAUCAAAACCAAGACUCGAUUCGUUCACUUUGUAGCACUCGUCAUUUUGUUUUCUACAUAAUAAUUUAUAUGUGUUAAUGUCAGGUUCAUACAAUAAGAAUUGUAUAACCCAAUAUCUAUAAAAUUGAUUUAUGUACCUACUGGUAUGAUGCUUUAAUAGCCCAUCGGCAAUCCAUUCUGAAUAGUAGUUGAUCAACUGUGUUAGUUUUUUUGGAGCCUCAUUUGAGAUGUUGAACCCUUCAAAUGAGUAAUUAUUCCGUUAUCCCAAACUACCAGGCUCUACUUUUUCUUCUUCUUUGGAAGCAGUUGAUGAAUUAUCAACUGUGAUAUUAUGCUCUUCAGCAGUAGCUUCUACUGUGACAUCCCCUUGGAAAGCCAGAAUUGUCAAUUCUAAGAAGAGAUAUACAAUAGAUUAUCCAUCUGUUGCAAUAGAUGAUUCUUAUAUUACAUUAGAUGGAUUAUCUAUUGGGAUAAAUUCGAACAGGUAAAUUAGAGCAGUACGAUAAUUUUGAACAGAUGACCCAUCUAUUGCAACAUAAGACCCAUCUAUUGAAAUAUAUAACGAAUUUGAUGCAACAGGUUAGACAACAAUUGCAACAGAUGUAUAUAUCUUUUUGAUAAUUUUCAGCAUAUGUAUCAUCUGUUGAAACAAAUAUGUGCCUGUUUAUUUUUUGGAACAGAUGAUGUACAUUCACCUUCUUUAGCUCAUGCUACUCUCCUAUGGCCCUUCAUACUGAACAUCGGUGCAAGACAAAGACAGAGGCGUUGCAAUCUUGCUUUUUUUUUUUUAUGUUUGAUGAUGCCUUGGAAGUGUCUUUCCUUCUC